RNAcentral lists this ribosomal RNA (229 nucleotides) under uncultured bacterium. RNAcentral's name for it is "partial 16S ribosomal RNA". It matches the Rfam family "Bacterial small subunit ribosomal RNA", at positions 568 to 796 of the family's 1533-position model. The record is from RNAcentral.
UCCGUAGGCGGGUAAUUAAGUCAGAGGUGAAAUCCCACAGCUUAACUGUGGAACUGCCUUAGAUACUGGUUAUCUUGAGUUUUAGUGAAGUAGAUAGAAUGUGUAGUGUAGCGGUGAAAUGCAUAGAUAUUACAUAGAAUACCGAUUGCGAAGGCAGUCUACUAACUAUAUACUGACGCUGAUGGACGAAAGCGUGGGGAGCGAACAGGAUUAGAUACCCUGGUAGUCC